GGUAAAAUGACUGAGUAAGCGUUAGACUGUAAAUCAAAAGAUGGAGGUCAAGGCCUCCUUUUACCA
Transfer RNA from Homo sapiens (human), 66 nucleotides. It matches the Rfam family "tRNA". From Rfam's summary of the family: Transfer RNA (tRNA) molecules are approximately 80 nucleotides in length. Their secondary structure includes four short double-helical elements and three loops (D, anti-codon, and T loops). NCBI's taxonomy places the organism in Eukaryota, Metazoa, Chordata, Mammalia, Primates, Hominidae. The record is from Rfam.